This 694-nucleotide long non-coding RNA is filed under the name Gouania willdenowi (blunt-snouted clingfish). RNAcentral describes it as "lncRNA (ENSGWIG00000009666.1)". Lineage: Eukaryota; Metazoa; Chordata; Actinopteri; Blenniiformes; Gobiesocidae. The record is from RNAcentral.
GGGCGGAGCUUGGCUCCAGUAUCACCUUCACUCUGUAAAGUGGUGGUCACUCAUAAUAAAGGUGGAGACCUCCAGCUCUGCGUAAUGAGAGCGUCCUUUAUCAACUACUUUCUUCUUAUUGUGGCAUCGAUCAUUCUGAUCAGCGCGUCGCUUACUUCCGUGGAGGACGAGGAGGGAUCAGGCAGUGACCUGGAGUCGGAUGGUUCAGGAGAUGAAGCGCUGAAGGACGCUGCCGCUGGACACAGACAUUCUUCUCAGAAUUCCUAUACCUUUGAUCCAAAUAUCUCACCUUGGGGAGAAACUGAGCCUGAGCCUGUGAUGUUGCACCGUGGACAGCAUUUCUGGCAAAAUAAAGACAUUUUAUAUGCUGUGAUCGCAGGUGGAGUGGCAGGAACGAUAAUCGCAGCUGCCAUCAUGGCAUUUUUAAUCCACAAAUGGCAGAAAGAGGAAAAGGAGGAAUACUUAAUGUACGAGAGGAGGAAGGAAGAGCGUCAGAGACGCAGGAUUGCCACCACUGUUUUAUAACUUUCCUCUCAACAGGAAGCACUCCUGAAGCUUUGUUUACAAUGAUAUGAUUAUAUUUAAUUUAGAUUUAUGAUUGCUCUGAAGAAGAUCAUCAGUUUAAACCAGUGAUUCUCAACCUUUUCAGUCCGCGACCCCCAAAAUAAAGGUGCUAGAGAGCGGGGACCCUUCA